GAUCAUAAAAUUUUUAUCAAUUAGUCUGAUUCAAAUUUGAGAUGAGAAAAAAAUGUAAAGUACCUUUUAGCAAUUCAUAGUUGAGAAAGAAUAAUAAAAUUUCGUUACAAGAAUUUUGUAUCAGUGAAGGUAUAACUGAAAAGUUAAGGUCUAAAUAGUGCCUAAUUGAAAUUAAAUUUAGUCAGAAGAAUUUUGUAUCAGUUAAGGUCAAUUAGUGCCUAAUUGAAAUUUAGAGCAAGUAAUUCAUAUAUGGUAGCUGUUUAUGAAAAUUGAGUAAAUUUUGUCAACUAAAUUAAAUUAGUACCUUUAGUGGAGUGCUGCAGACGAUACGUUGCAUUGUCCAUCGCCGUGUUA
RNAcentral lists this long non-coding RNA (354 nucleotides) under Capsicum annuum. RNAcentral's name for it is "long non-coding RNA (CANN_LNC006095)". Lineage: Eukaryota; Viridiplantae; Streptophyta; Magnoliopsida; Solanales; Solanaceae. The record is from RNAcentral.